Molecule: ribosomal RNA, 491 nt
Filed under: uncultured bacterium
Lineage: Bacteria
Description: bacterial SSU rRNA
Rfam family: Bacterial small subunit ribosomal RNA
Source: RNAcentral
CAGGACGAACGCUGGCGGCGUGCCUAACACAUGCAAGUCGAACGGAACUCUUUGGAACAAGGCUUCGGCCAAGGGAAUUUGAGUUAGUGGCGGACGGGUGAGUAACGCGUGAGCAACCUGCCCUUCGAGGGGGACAACAGUUGGAAACGACUGCUAAUACCGCAUGACAUACAGAGAUCGCAUGGUCAUUGUAUCAAAGAUUUAUCGCCGAAGGAUGGGCUCGCGUCUGAUUAGCUGGUUGGUGAGGUAACGGCUCACCAAGGCGACGAUCAGUAGCCGGACUGAGAGGUUGAACGGCCACAUUGGGACUGAGAUACGGCCCAGACUCCUACGGGAGGCAGCAGUGGGGAAUAUUGGGCAAUGGGGGGCAACCCUGACCCAGCAACGCCGCGUGAAGGAAGAAGGCUUUCGGGUUGUAAACUUCUUUUAUCAGGGACGAUAAUGACGGUACCUGAUGAAUAAGCCACGGCUAACUACGUGCCAGCCGCCGC